Molecule: unclassified non-coding RNA, 156 nt
Filed under: Colletotrichum fructicola
Lineage: Eukaryota; Fungi; Ascomycota; Sordariomycetes; Glomerellales; Glomerellaceae
Description: sequence contains ITS2
Source: RNAcentral
GUACCCUCAAGCUUUGCUUGGUGUUGGGGCCCUACAGCUGAUGUAGGCCCUCAAAGGUAGUGGCGGACCCUCCCGGAGCCUCCUUUGCGUAGUAACUUUACGUCUCGCACUGGGAUCCGGAGGGACUCUUGCCGUAAAACCCCCCAAUUUUCCAAA